GGCACACUGGAAGCCAGGUGACUUCUUACCGAACACAGAUCAACCAACGUUUAGAACCAGAAGCUCAAAUCCGAUAUUACAAGAGCUAAGAGUUUGAAUCGCGGAUUCAAAAUAAAACACUAAUCGUUUCUAUCUCCUUACAGACAGACGAGACAGCAUGCCGUCUAACUGCGAUCCCUAGCGCUUCCUGCUCGGCGAGACUGGAGAACCGGACGGUGGAUUUGGACUGUGUAUCCGAGCCGAUCAGAAAAUGGUCAUCUUGGGUUCUCCUAAAGCCUUAUAGAGACAACAUAGCGAAGGAUAUAACCUACAGGAUUUUGUUCUUAACCAGUUUUCGAUUAAUUGUCUCUUGGAUACGAGAGUGAAACUGUUGCGCAAUGAAGUUGACGUGGUGGAUAGUCCAACUGCUCCUAUUGGCCAGCGGAAGUGUGUGUUCACUGGAGCGAGCCACACACAACCCAGAAAACAACGUCAUCUGUCCUCAGGCUCUAAACUGCAGGGUGAGAAAUACAGAUCCUAUCACACCACUUGAUGUGGUCUGUGGUUCUGUGUAUGUGUGUUCUCUGGCCGUGAAGCCAAAACUGUGCUGUCACAGGAAUGACUGCAAACCCUGUUUGUGGAUCAACAUCCAGCUGAGUAUUAUUCUAGAUCUCAAAGAGGAGGAGGACAGAGAUAUUGAGAGAUCACAAUAUGAAGAGGAGAGCAGUGGUGAGUCCUUACAGUAACAGCACAUUAGAGUUGUUGGCCUAAUGGUUUAUGCUUACACUAACAUUCUAAUUUCAGGGGACUGGGAUUCGGGAUGUGUUUCCAUGCCAAACGACACAUCAGAAGGUCAAAGGGUAAGUGUUUUGAAUAUUCAUAACAAAAUGUAUUUUUAAAAACUCCAUCUUUAAUUAAAAUCUUUAACAUCUUAUACUUUUUAACAGGAAGACUACUCUCUCUGUGAAGGCCGGCUAGAUCAAGG
RNAcentral lists this long non-coding RNA (964 nucleotides) under Sinocyclocheilus grahami. Its description in RNAcentral is "lncRNA (ENSSGRG00000014542.1)". Lineage: Eukaryota; Metazoa; Chordata; Actinopteri; Cypriniformes; Cyprinidae. The record is from RNAcentral.